Molecule: ribosomal RNA, 406 nt
Filed under: uncultured bacterium
Lineage: Bacteria
Description: partial 16S ribosomal RNA
Rfam family: Bacterial small subunit ribosomal RNA
Source: RNAcentral
AUUGAACGCUGGCGGCAGGCCUAACACAUGCAAGUCGAGCGAGCGGCGGACGGGUGAGUAAUGUAUGGGAAACUGCCCGAUGGAGGGGGAUAACUACUGGAAACGGUAGCUAAUACCGCAUACCAUCAGAUGUGCCCAGAUGGGAUUAGCUAGUAGGUGGGGUAAUGGCUCACCUAGGCGACGAUCCCUAGCUGGUCUGAGAGGAUGACCAGCCACACUGGGACUGAGACACGGUCCAGACUCCUACGGGAGGCAGCAGUGGGGAAUAUUGCACAAUGGGCGCAAGCCUGAUGCAGCCAUGCCGCGUGUAUGAAGAAGGCCUUCGGGUUGUAAAGCACUUUCAGCGGGGAGGCGUUACCCGCAGAAGAAGCACCGGCUAACUCCGUGCCAGCAGCCGCGGUAAUUC